AGUGCGAGAGUAACUGCUCGCACCUUGACGGUACCUAACCAGAAAGCCACGGCUAACUACGUGCCAGCAGCCGCGGUAAUACGUAGGUGGCAAGCGUUGUCCGGAAUUAUUGGGCGUAAAGGGCUCGCAGGCGGUUUCUUAAGUCUGAUGUGAAAGCCCCCGGCUCAACCGGGGAGGGUCAUUGGAAACUGGGAAACUUAAGUGCAGAAGAGGAGAGUGGAAUUCCACGUGUAGCGGUGAAAUGCGUAGAGAUGUGGAGGAACACCAGUGGCGAAGGCCACUCUCUGGUCUGUAACUGACGCUGAGGAGCGAAAGCGUGGGG
RNAcentral lists this ribosomal RNA (322 nucleotides) under Bacillus safensis. RNAcentral's name for it is "bacterial SSU rRNA". It matches the Rfam family "Bacterial small subunit ribosomal RNA", at positions 446 to 766 of the family's 1533-position model. Lineage: Bacteria; Bacillati; Bacillota; Bacilli; Caryophanales; Bacillaceae. The record is from RNAcentral.